GUUUACCAAUUAGCUCAACUGGCUAGAGCGUGGUGCUGAUAAAGCCAAGGUUGCAGGUUUGAUCCCCGUAUAGGACA
Molecule: non-coding RNA, 77 nt
Organism: Podarcis lilfordi (Lilford's wall lizard)
Lineage: Eukaryota; Metazoa; Chordata; Lepidosauria; Squamata; Lacertidae
Source: the annotation of a GenBank genome assembly